RNAcentral lists this ribosomal RNA (406 nucleotides) under uncultured bacterium. RNAcentral describes it as "partial 16S ribosomal RNA". It matches the Rfam family "Bacterial small subunit ribosomal RNA", at positions 360 to 773 of the family's 1533-position model. The record is from RNAcentral.
AAUAUUGCGCAAUGGAGGGAACUCUGACGCAGCGACGCCGCGUGAGCGAUGAAGGUUUUCGGAUCGUACAGCUCUGUCCUUGGGGCCGAAGGUCUUCGGACUUGACGGUCCCUAAGUAGGUAGUCCCGGCUAACUACGUGCCAGCAGACGCGGUAAUACGUAGGGGGCAAGCGUUGUCCGGAAUUAUUGUGCGUAAAGGGUGCGUAGGCGGCCUUUUAAGUCAGGUGUGAAAGCCCACGGCUUAAACGUGGGAUUGCAUUUGAAACUGGAAGGCUUGAGUAUCGGAGAGGGUAGUGGAAUUCCCAGUGUAGCGGUGGAAUGCGUAGAUAUUGGGAGGAACACCAGUGGCGAAGGCGACUACCUGGACGAAAACUGACGCUGAGGCACGAAAGCUAGGGGAGCAAAC